GGGAAGCCCUUUAAUUUUGACUUUUAAUUUAUUUUUCAUUUGGUUUUUAAUUUAUUUUUCAUUCAUUUUGAUCUUUAAUUUCAGCACGGUUUUGUAGCUUUAGCCUUAACACUUAUUUUGUUAAAGGUAUUCCUAAGUGUUUUAUUUUCAUUGCUCUUGUGAAUAGAAUUGUGUUCUUGAGAGCCUGUGUGCUUACACAUCAUUCUGUACUGUUGAGGGGAGAGGAGGCUCAAGGUUGAUUUCUUCAGUUCCCAGGUUGGGCGGUGGUGUGGAUAGUGAGGUCACAAUCUGAUGAAAAGAAUUCAGGAGACGGAGCAGGUGUAGGCUUGGUAAGGAAACGUGUAGAAUCUGAGGAAUAGGGGACGGACAGAUUGUGCUGUCUGAUGGGCAGCCGGGAAUUCCAGAGAGAUUUGGACUUGCUGGCAUGUAAGGAUCAAGUCAUAGGAGAGCACCUGCCUCGGGAAAAGAUGAGCUGAGGACGGGAGAGCCUGGGGGGUCACUGACAGUUAAGAGGUGCCCCAGGAAGAAGGUGUGAAGCACUCAGAGAGGCAGUCCUGGACUGGUUCCGCAGUACCCACGUGCCCGGUGAUUGAAGACGGAGCUUCGGAGUCAAACUGACUCGAGUUUGAAGUCGACAUCCACGGAGGCCACUCUUGUCGAUUCUGGGAAAUCGUGAAGUAGCAGGACGACAGCAUCCGUGUCCUCGGGGACCUGAUGUGAUCCAUUUCCUCCUCUUGUAGUAUGGAGAUUGUAGCGCUUAUUUCAUGGAGUUGUGAGGAUUAAAUGAGUUGACUUGUGCAAAGUAUCCAGCGUAGCGUCAUCACGCGGUGAACGUGAAACGUUACCUGUUGUCACACGACCCCACGGAGCUGGGCGUUAGAGACCAGGAGGGUGUGGACCCUGACUUCAUGGAGCUGAGAGUCUCGUGAGCAGCGCAGAGGCACACACGACACGACACGACACGACAUGACACGACACGUGGGGGGAGGGACGGCACAGGGCGAUGGGAGAGGAGGGGCCCUGGCUAGGGGGGCAGGGGUCCCAGGAAGGAGGAAAUGGUCGGCGGCCUCAGUGCAGCAGAAAGGCCCAUUGCCUUGACUGAAGAAACAAUUGGGGUUUGACAGUUUGGGGGUUGGUGCCGUCAUCUGCUGUCUCUCCUAGAGCCACGGCCAGGUUGGCACCCAUGGGCGGCGAUGCCGGUCUCUCCAGAGAAGGGUGGGUGGAGGGAGGGGCUGGGAGGGGUGGAUUUACACGGGGAAAUAAUGCCAGUUAGAGGGUAGUUCUGACCAUUCAACCACUCAAGGACCUCUACCAGCCAGCCUGUGGUUUUAUUCCAGUUUGUUACGUUCUGUAUUCACGGGGAUUAACCUUUCUGUAGUUCAGACUCUCCACUUUAAUUUGGAGGAAAAUCAGCAUAAUCUGAAGAUAAAGCAGACUGCGUCAAGAAAGCUCUCAUGUCCCGCCAGGGACAUCCUUGACUCUGGAGAGCAGUUCUCUGAGUUUUGCUGCCAUGUGCAGCGCACUAAGGAGGUGUGAUCUAGAAGUCGCCGUGCGCGGAUGGUGGAGAGGCUCACUGCUCUGAAAGCUAAGCACAAAUCAGCGACGAACCGUGGCUCCCAGAAAGCCCAGGCUUGAAUGCGGCUGUCAGCUCUGCCAAGAUCCCUGGGGUGGCUCCAGGCAGGUCACUGGGCCUCCCCAGGCCUGGUUUCUCUGAUCUGCAAACUCUGGGGGUCGGAAGGACAGUUUGAAAAGGGCUCUGCCUCAGACGCUAAGGGGAGGGUGCCCCGACCCCAGGUCUCUUUGUCUGCUUUGUGCAGGUACCAUGUCGGGUGCUAGGAAAACAGUGGUGAGCAAAGACCAGAUGGUCCCUGGCAUUACGGAGUGGACGGUCGUGUGGGGAAGACUGGCAUUCUUUGUUACCAGCAUAAAUGAAGACCCACAUCUGUGGCAGGGACCAGGAGGGAGGAGAACCCAGUGCGCUCGGGCCCCUGUGAUAACGACAAGCCCGAAGGUGAUGCUCGUGAGAAAUGAUGCGGCUUGAAUUGUACGGGCAACGAAGUCGGUGCGGUAAUGGGCCGAGGAAACCGGCUCAUGGCCGUGGGAGGUGAGGGGCCUUCGCAGGACAGCCUGGGAGCAGAGGACGCAGAGUAGCAAAUAUGGCACAGACAGUUCAAGUUGCUAACGUGAAGGCAGUCGUACAUUAUCAACCGUGUCUGUACCCACGAAUAAUACAUUCGCAGGACCACCUUUGGAAAGGCGGAUGACGACGGCCCUGGCCGUCUGCACUUUGCUGGAGUAGACUGGAGGCCCUCACACCUGCGCUGCAGUCUGAGCUUGCCACUUGUCAGCAGGUGAGCUUGGGCAAGUCACGUUCCCUUUCUGGGCUUCACUUUCUCAGCUCUAAAACGUGAGUGUUCGAGCUAGACAGGGUGGUGGAGAUGACCUCGGACAGCGGGUCUCAACCAGCGCUGUGAACGAGAGUCACUCGAGAAGCUGCCAGAAAUACUGAUGCUCAGUCCCCCCCAGACCAAUAAGUCAGAAUCUCCCUGGCUGGGGCCUAGGAAUUAGGAUUUUUUUAAAAAAAUAAACACACAGUCCAAUAUUUCAUGAUUCUAUAACCUGUGCCUCAGAACUGAACCAUGUGAUGCAAUUGUAUAGGAAUAAACUGCAAGAAGCCAGAGCCUUGGGCUUGAACUCUUGGUUGAGAAGCCAUGAGUGACCUGCCUCUCUUAACAAGCAAAGUGGACCAUGAAGAAAGGAGACGUCCUUCCCUUUCCACCUCUACGUCUUUAUUGUUCUAGCUCCCAUGUCAUUCUUCUGUUACUAUCCGGAGACACCUUAAAAUCAUGUGAGGGCAUUUCUAUCUAGAGGGUUUGAAUGGUGUGUGGAAAGAACUCAGGCUUGCAGCAAACUUGGAGAUGAGUCUUAGCUUUUCCACUAACCCUGCUGGACCUCAGCCUCUUGAGUAAAAUAGAGAAAAUGAGACCUUCCCUGCAGGGUCGCUCUGAAGAGGUACUGAGGUAAUGUACGUGUAAUACAGUGCCUGGGACAGAGAUGCUCCAUAAAUGUUAAAUGAUGAAUAGAAAUGUUUGUAUAGGGAAAGGGCUAAUAUCAUUUAUAUUUAAAGGGCUUGUUUUUCGCCUUGAGACUUGUGAAGUACCCCCAAGUGGAAUAUGGGCAAAGCAUAGUAAAAGAAAAUGUACAGAUAAGUACAAAGCGAUUAAACAUAUCCUCCAUCUCCACUAACUAGAGGAACUGAAAUUGAAGCAAUGAUUGACAAACAGUUGGCCAAAAGGAUGUCUGUGCCCUGCUGGUGGGAGGAAAAUGCAUCCCAAAUGUGCCACUUCCCAUGCUGUGUUAUCCAUACAGCAACACCACUUCCAAGAGCAGAAAUGCAUGUGGAUGUAAAGGGAUGUUUGUUUCACCAUUGUUUGUAAUAAAGAAGAACUGGAGGUAGCCUGAAUGUCCGUUAACAGAGGAUAGGUUAAAUUAGAGUGUAACCAUAUAAAAGGACGCUAACACUGUUCACCCUUUAAAAAUAUGGAGAUGGCCUGAUAUGUACUGACAUGGGAAGAUGUCUGAUUCAUUGCUCAGUGAACAAAGCUACAAACAGUAUUCACAUAGCCCUUGGUUGACUUUCCAGCUUCUGCCUCCCCAUCAGGCCAGCCUUGAAGCAGACAGCAUUGUGGUGUUGAAGGUCAUGCAUCGGGUGGGGUCGGGGGUCACUCACCAUAGGUUUGGGAGGGCCAGGGAAGUUCUAUGUACACGAGCUUCGAAGCCUUAAGGACAGACAGACGCUGAAGAAGGUUUUAGAACUGAUGGGCAGGCACCUGGGACGUAAGAAUGAGCCACGUUGAAGUAAGGCAGGGUGAUGAAGAGGGGUAAAGACCCCUAAAGAUGGGGGCAUGUCCCAGGUCGGUAGGGAUAAGAGGUGAGAGGGAGGCCGGGCAGAUACCUCCCACUUGGGUCACCGUUUAAAGGCUUUAGCCAAGAAUGAGACUGACAGGGCUUGCAAUGGAACUCAGCAAGUGUCCAUCCUCCAUGGAGAGGCCUUCAAACUGCCAAGCCCUCCCCUUAAACAGUCCUGCUCCUUCCCUUCCUGUUCUUUCAGCUGGGGAGUUGGCGGAAGAAGAAGGGGCAGGAAAUCAGAGAGGUCCCUGGGGCAGCCCUGAAAAGCAGCAGGUGGUCACAGGCCAGGAGCCCCGAGCCCAGAGCACUACUGGAAGCCACACCCUGAUUGUCUGAGGCUGGUGUGGCCUGGGGUGAAAGGGCACUUGUUUAUUUUCACAUCGAAGCUAAAGGUCAAGUGAUGCCCAACUGGUGGAAACUCGAUAAGUGGCUCGGCCAUGGUGCACACAUCAGCGUUUAAAGGCCACUGACUUCGUGUUUGAGUACCAGAUGAUAAAAUUAGAUUGCGUGGUUUGUAGAAAAUUAAGUUCUUUAGCUAAACCAGAUGCUAAGCUUCUGCCCAGAAUCAGUAUACUGUUAGAAGUCUGGAAACUAAUAAACAUACCGUAACUAUUAAUUUAUGGAUGGGUUGUUGGCAGAUAACUUCAGAGAAGGAAUCCAGGCUUGAAACAGCUCUUAUAACACCAGAUGGAGUGUGUGAGUUUAAUCGAGUCCCAAGAAGGGAUAUCUGUACAGUGCCUAAAAAAACAAAAACAAAAACAAAAAAAAAACACUGGGAUCUGAGUUAGGCCUGAGAUAAGCUGAGAGAAGCAGGGAAAACUAGAACCUAAUUGAAACUGAUACAAGAAAUUAAGAGCCAUGCAAAGAAAACCAGAUGUUCUUUUAUGAUGAAGUGCGUUGGAGGGAAGCAGGGACAACUUAACCCACCCAGAAUCCAGUCACCUGGCAGCUUCACCCGAGGACAGGAGGCCCGAAGGAACCGGGCUGACUAACCAACUAAUGUCCUACACGUAGAGUGGUAGAGCUGGAGCGCUGUGCUCUUGGGGAAACUCUCCGGAUGACAGACCACACCCAUUGGACUCAGGCCAGGCAAUUCCUGAAGCUCCCUUCAUCGUGUGAUGAACAGUUUCCAGAUGGAGAGACAAGCCCAGAGUUGUCCGGGGACAACUUGCCCAAGGUCUCACGACUGGGCAGGAACCAGACCUCACCUGUCCCUGCUGCUGAUCCACCCCAAAGCAGAUUGAAGACACAAAUCCAGAGGAGGAAGGUGGGCACUGCGGUGACCCCUGCCGUCAGCCGGACAGCCCUCACUCAGCCGGAGAGCGAGAGGAGGAUAAAGCCUAGUUACCUGAACAACCAACCAACCAACCCUGGUGCAGAUAUUCAAGAAAUGGCAAUAUGGGUGAAAGAGUCCAACAAAUCUGAAGUCUUCCCUGCAUCACUGUGUAGACUGGCCUGUGUAAUGAGGCCCCUGAAUCCCACAGCGUUACCGAAUGUCUGCUGUGUGCCCGUAAGUGUUUAUCAGAAUAAAGUCAUAUUUUGUUCACUACACAUCCAAUUAAAAAACAAAACUUCCUAGUUGAAGUCUUCAGUAACACUUGCUGGAUUCCUGCAGUAACAUUCUACUCAAAGACACAAUCUCAAAUCCUACCAUUAAAGCCCAGCUUGGACUAUGUCCUUUUCCUGCUUUAAAAACCUUCGGUGGCUCCCAAAGGCCAUCAGAUGACACAUCCAUCAUUCAGCCCCGCCUUCAAGGCUGCCUGUGACAUACACUGUGAACUUCCUUGCAACAGGGUUUUCCCGUGUGUGCUUUCUGGGGCCCCAGGGCCUCUAGAAUUGACUCAGGCCGUGGUGGGUUUGGAAGUCAUGAAGUUGGAUGUCGGCGUAAAAGUCAGGAAGGGGCUUUGCUGGCUGAGGCUCGCUAAAGAGGUACAGCAGGACUCAGCUUCGCUGGUGGCAGGUUUCAGUAGCUUAGUCAGUGUUCCAGGCUCCAUGGUGCCCGGCCCUGCAGUGGGGGCACCAUCUUCCACGGAGUCCACGAAGGAAGUCGCCCACCGGGCUGUCGGCAGAAUUACAAAGCCUGGUUUGCCUUUAUGUCCCUCACACCCUUCCUGUUGCUUUGUCCCCCUCCCGUACCUAGGACUCUUCCCACCUGGUAUCACUUCUCUUGAGAUCCUCAACGUCACAUUUAUAUUUAAAUAAAGGUGUCAGAUCCCAGUUAUGAGUCUACCCAGUGGCCUAGAGUUUUCCGAGGCCUCACUCUUCUUACAGUCCUAAGUUACGCAGAACGUUUGAGGAAAGGGUGAGUUUCAACUGGAGGUUGGGCUGUACCAUCCAUUACCAGGGUCACCGGUUCCUAAACUUCCAUGUGUGUGGAAAUCGCCUGGGGAGCUUGUUAAAAUGCAGAUUUGGUUCCGUGGGUUCCAGGAUCUCUAUUCCUUUUAAGCUCCUGGGCGAUGCCAAUGCUGCUAGACUGGGGAGCACGCUGUGAGUGACGAGGAUAAAGACCAGAUGUCCCUGGAGAGCCGUCCGGGAGAAGCUCAGGUUCCCAGGCUCCGUCACUCCCACGCCAGGGGCUCAGAGGCUGCCGCCUGGCGUAAACACAAGCCGUUUGCCUCGGGAGCUCAGGGGCAUACAUGAGGUAGUGGGGUGUCUGCUUUUCCACGUCUUCGCAGACCUCAGUUAUCUCACAGGCCUAGACCGUCAGAAGGCUCUCAUCUGGCUGUUGGAGAUGGUCCUUCUCAUCUCCAGAAGGCAGUUCAGCAAGUUCUCGAGGGAAAAGGGUAAAUGCUGCCUUCGGGGAUCUCCUGGAGCAGCUUCCAGCAAGCGGAGGAGGUGCCUGUGGACUUGUUCUCCUUAGCACCUCGUUUUUCUCCCUACUGUGUUUACAAACAGGCGGCUUAGCCGCAGGUCUUGGGUGGAUGACACCCACUCUCGUUCACUUCUGUGUAUGUUACUCUGGAGAGGGAAGAUAAUGCAGUUUAGCUAAGCCAAGCUGUAGGUUGGAAGUUAUAACCCACCUAAUUCCUUACAGAAGCUAUUGAUUAAGGCUGUGUCUCUGCCACCUGCUGUGCCUGGGCCUCCUGCCAUGUGGUUGAUGGCAACUCUGACAGCCCCGUCCCUGCAGAACCCAGAGCUCCUGCCACGUUUGUUUCCAGCAAGUCUUUAGUGUCUGCUCUCCUGCCUCCUCACCCCCCGCUUCCUUCUAAAGCAUGUUUUGAAGUCCACACUGAGACAGGUCACCCAACCCAUUUGUCAUGUGGUGGGGUUACAGACUGUGGAGUCUGCAGCAGACGUCAGCUGGGCCUUUGGAGGCCCGUCACCUCCCCAAAGAGAACACUCUUGUUGACCAUCUGGCACGGGGGCGAACACCUUUCUUGCCCAAGAGGUCCUAGGCUUCACUCCAGGGAGUGGCAUGAGGGUUAGAGCUCAGAGAGAAAGAAAAAAGUGGAGUCAGAGACCCAGGAAAUGAGGUCCCCGCGGAAGGUAAGAGCCUUUGUAAACGUGCCUUUGUUACCUGGAUGGAUGUUCAGUAAGCAUUUGUUGAAUGAAUGAGUGAAAA
Long non-coding RNA from Aethalodelphis obliquidens (Pacific white-sided dolphin), 7471 nucleotides. RefSeq lists it as uncharacterized. The record is from RefSeq and is a predicted model, not a curated record. The transcript is spliced from 2 exons. NCBI's taxonomy places the organism in Eukaryota, Metazoa, Chordata, Mammalia, Artiodactyla, Delphinidae.